AGUGAACGCUGGCGGUAGGCCUAACACAUGCAAGUCGAACGGCAGCACAGUAAGAGCUUGCUCUUACGGGUGGCGAGUGGCGGACGGGUGAGGAAUACAUCGGAAUCUACUUUUUCGUGGGGGAUGACGUAGGGAAACUUACGCUAAUACCGCAUACGACCUACGGGUGAAAGCAGUGGAUCUUCGGACCUUGCGCGAUUGAAUGAGCCGAUGUCGGAUUAGCUAGUUGGCGGGGUAAGGGCCCACCAAGGCGACGAUCCGUAGCUGGUCUGAGAGGAUGAUCAGCCACACUGGAACUGAGACACGGUCCAGACUCCUACGGGAGGCAGCAGUGGGGAAUAUUGGACAAUGGGCGCAAGCCUGAUCCAGCCAUACCGCGUGGGUGAAGAAGGCCUUCGGGUUGUAAAGCCCUUUUGUUGGGAAAGAAAAGCAGCAGGUUAAUACCCCGCUGUUCUGACGGUACCCAAAGAAUAAGCACCGGCUAACUUCGUG
This 492-nucleotide ribosomal RNA is filed under the name uncultured bacterium. RNAcentral's name for it is "partial 16S ribosomal RNA". It matches the Rfam family "Bacterial small subunit ribosomal RNA", at positions 29 to 507 of the family's 1533-position model. The record is from RNAcentral.